UUUUCUUCCACUAUUUUGCUCUUAUGGGUUUCUCAUUCUUCAACGCUUCAGGUUUCUCAGUCCGUUCAUAUCUUCCGCUACCUUUUACUUCCCCCUUAACCUAGCAGCGCCGUUGCUCACAUGAGAGAGAUUUGAACUCUACGAUCUGGGGUGGUGCCCCGUGGUGACCUGAGGCCAAGCUCCUUCACAACCUGAGAUGGAUCCUUCUGCAAAGCGAUUCAAACCACGGAGGUUGCAGGGUAUGGUGAGAGGAACACACAGAGGCUGGGAGCUCUGAUCUUCAAUCCUAUUUGCAGCAGGGCGCAGGCUGCGAUCCUCAAUCUUCAAUCCAGUCCAUUUUGUUCGUGCUUUGAGUAGAAGGGGAUGCUGCCUUCAAAUAUCAAAGAAACAUCCAAAGAAUCAAGGCGCAGAGAUGUGAGCAUUUCCUAUAUACAUGUGUGUGUUCCCCCUUUGCUAUUGCAGAAUUCUGGGCGUAUGGGAUCCAGGUAAGCACUACUCCUAACAGAAUUAUUAAUUUCAUGUAAAUGUUCCAUAUAAAUUUGAUAAAUGAUAACAAGGUGUUAUUUACAUAUGCAUACCCCUGUGUCAUGUGGUUAGCAAUCAGGCCAACACUCUUGGAAUGAUUUUGUGUUUUUACAGUUGAGUUUUUUAUUUGAGUUUUUAGUUUUUUUCUUUUUUUUAUAAUUUUGGACAUGAGAAAGUUAGGGUCUGUGGCUAAGUUGUGUUACAUUGCAUCUUGAUGUUCAUUCGAGAGAACUGGUGAAGGGGCAGGGGCUUAGUGAGCGUGGGGAAAUUAUUCUCUUCUAUAAGGCUGAACCUAAAACAGAUGAAGUAUAUGAUCAGACAACUUUGCUUCCUGAAGCAGAUGUGAGUGUGCUCUGACUUCUGCCAUUGGAUUGAUUGGCACAUCGAUUGAGGAACUACACCCGAGAGCUAAGAAUCAGAGUAAAAGAAUAUUGUUUCUGCAACCACAACUUUUCUUUUUGCAGAUAUUAUGUCUGCAAUUGAUCUCAUCCCUUUGUUGCUUCAAUAUUCUAUAAAUGCUUCUCCUGGAUGUUCCCGGUUGCAUUGUUUUGGAUUCUCUUUGAUUCUACAUGCUUGGAUGAUCAAGUAGCCAAUUAAGUGUGAUUCAAGUGUAUCAUCUUAUCCGAACUAAAGGCAGAUGUUCUCAGGAACGAAAAAAGUAGGAGUAACGAAGAAGAUAAAUGAGAAUGUAUAUGAGAAUUCUUACUGAAUGUACAAGUUGUUGCAUUGUUGUCUCCCACCAAGGAUUAUGUGAGCAGAGAGAGAAGGCUGGGACAGAAAAAUGCUAAAAUGAGUUAUUUUAGAUUGCAAGAACGUCAAUCUUUCCAGAACAAGAAAGUAAAGUUCUCAGCCAGCAGAGGCAGCGUCAAAGUGAAGGACAAGAAAGUAGUGGACAGAAAGAUUCAUAUGCUAAUCAACCUCUGAUCAAUUGUAUCAAGUGAAAUUCAUUUAGAAACUGUACAGGUUAUUGUUGUUGAUUCUCAAGAGGAUGAUAGUACGGAUAAUUGAAGCGCAUAAGCUUUGUUGAGUUCAACACUACAGGUUUUGGUUAAAAUCUGAUGGCUAGAAUGGUAUAUGUGGAGGGAGAAGGGUUAUGGAAAAAUUGUCAAGGCAUGGCACUGCCCAUUAAGGUUAUCCAAAGGCCUAAGUCACUUGAUUUAGGAGUGCAAUUCUCUUGCAGCCCUCAUGAGCCAGCCACUGAGGGAGCUGUGAUCAAGUCUUCAAGAAUUGGUGCUUUGGAAAACAUACCAAAGAAUUUGGAUCAAAGAUGAUGGCUAAGACAGUAGGUAGAGAAUCAUAAUGUAAUUACACCAUUGAGUGUUGUUAGGCUACCGAAGUCAUGACUCAUGAGGACUAGGCUCCAAAAGUUAAUUUAGAUUUCUUUGUUUUUUGCUCCUUUCUAAUUGUAUAUUGGCCUAAGAUUAUGAUUCACCUUUGUAGUUUAGCUUUAGCACGCAUUUUCUAACAAUGGAAUUCACUAUGUUAAAAUGUUA
This is a long non-coding RNA of Lotus japonicus, 2018 nucleotides long. RefSeq lists it as uncharacterized. NCBI's taxonomy places the organism in Eukaryota, Viridiplantae, Streptophyta, Magnoliopsida, Fabales, Fabaceae. The record is from RefSeq and is a predicted model, not a curated record. The transcript is spliced from 8 exons.